CACCGAAGCUGCGGCAGCGACGCUGAUGCGUUGUUGGGUAGGGGAGCGUUCUGUAAGCCUGCGAAGGUGACCUGUGAGGGUUGCUGGAGGUAUCAGAAGUGCGAAUGCUGACAUAAGUAACGAUAAAGCGGGUGAAAAGCCCGCUCGCCGGAAGACCAAGGGUUCCUGUCCAACGUUAAUCGGGGCAGGGUGAGUCGACCCCUAAGGCGAGGCCGAAAGGCGUAGUCGAUGGGAAACGGGUUAAUAUUCCCGUACUUGGUGUUACUGCGAAGGGGGGACGGAGAAGGCUAUGUUGGCCGGGCGACGGUUGUCCCGGUUUAAGCGUGUAGGUGUGUGUUCCAGGUAAAUCCGGUUCACUUUAACACUGAGGCGUGAUGACGAGGCACUACGGUGCUGAAGCAACAAAUGCCCUGCUUCCAGGAAAAGCCUCUAAGCAUCAGGUAACAUCAAAUCGUACCCCAAACCGACACAGGUGGUCAGGUAGAGAAUACCAAGGCGCUUGAGAGAACUCGGGUGAAGGAACUAGGCAAAAUGGUGCCGUAACUUCGGGAGAAGGCACGCUGACACGUAGGUGAAGUGAUUUACUCACGGAGCUGAAGUCAGUCGAAG
RNAcentral lists this ribosomal RNA (609 nucleotides) under Salmonella enterica subsp. enterica serovar Typhimurium. RNAcentral describes it as "partial 23S ribosomal RNA". It matches the Rfam family "Bacterial large subunit ribosomal RNA", at positions 1192 to 1782 of the family's 2925-position model. The record is from RNAcentral. RNAcentral also lists the same sequence under 1 other name. Lineage: Bacteria; Pseudomonadati; Pseudomonadota; Gammaproteobacteria; Enterobacterales; Enterobacteriaceae.